This 146-nucleotide ribosomal RNA is filed under the name uncultured bacterium. RNAcentral's name for it is "partial 16S ribosomal RNA". It matches the Rfam family "Bacterial small subunit ribosomal RNA", at positions 1088 to 1233 of the family's 1533-position model. The record is from RNAcentral.
CGCAACGAGCGCAACCCCUAUCUUUAGUUGCCAGCACGUAAUGGUGGGGACUCUAAAGAGACUGCCUUCGCAAGAAGUGAGGAAGGCGGGGACGACGUCAAGUCAUCAUGGCCCUUACGCCUAGGGCUACACACGUGCUACAAUGG